CCUGACGACCAUAGCAAGGUGGAACCACUCCUUCCCAUCCCGAACAGGACAGUGAAACGCCUUUGCGCCGAUGAUAGUGGACGGACGUCUGUGAAAGUAGGUCAUUGUCAGGC
RNAcentral lists this ribosomal RNA (113 nucleotides) under Pigmentiphaga aceris. Lineage: Bacteria; Pseudomonadati; Pseudomonadota; Betaproteobacteria; Burkholderiales; Alcaligenaceae. The record is from RNAcentral.